GAGGAAAAGAAACCAACAGGGAUUGCCUCAGUAGCGGCGAGUGAAGCGGCAAAAGCUCAAAUUUGAAAUCUGGCGUCUUUGGCGUCCGAGUUGUAAUUUGAAGAAGGUAUCUUUGGGCCCGGCUCUUGUCUAUGUUCCUUGGAACAGGACGUCACAGAGGGUGAGAAUCCCGUGCGAUGAGAUGACCCGGGUCUGUGUAAAGUUCCUUCGACGAGUCGAGUUGUUUGGGAAUGCAGCUCUAAGUGGGUGGUAAAUUCCAUCUAAAGCUAAAUAUUGGCGAGAGACCGAUAGCGAACAAGUACAGUGAUGGAAAGAUGAAAAGAACUUUGAAAAGAGAGUGAAAAAGUACGUGAAAUUGUUGAAAGGGAAGGGCUUGAGAUCAGACUUGGUAUUUUGCAUGCUGCUCUCUCGGGGGCGGCCGCUGCGGUUUACCGGGCCAGCAUCGGUUUGGAGCGGCAGGAUAAUGGCGGAGGAAUGUGGCACGGCUUCUGCUGUGUGUUAUAGCCUCUGACGAUACUGCCAGCCUAGACCGAGGACUGCGGUUUUUAACCUAGGAUGUUGGCAUAAUGAUCUUAAGUCGCCCGUCU
Molecule: ribosomal RNA, 587 nt
Filed under: Candida albicans
Lineage: Eukaryota; Fungi; Ascomycota; Pichiomycetes; Serinales; Debaryomycetaceae
Description: eukaryotic LSU rRNA
Rfam family: Eukaryotic large subunit ribosomal RNA
Source: RNAcentral